AGCCGGGCAGGCAGGGACGGAGCCCGGGACGGGCUCAGAUUCCGCCGCCUCUCCGGAUUCCUCUCAGCACCGGGAGAUCUUGAGAGUUUCGGCUGCAUCUGAAGAGCCCAGAUCCUGCAUACAGGAUUAUUCCCUGGGGAAGUUAAAAUUUGAACUCUGCCUGGGAAUAGAGUGCUCCUUCAUCUUCAAAACUACCUUUUAGAUCAGGUGUCACCUCAAG
Calypte anna (Anna's hummingbird) is the source of this 220-nucleotide long non-coding RNA. RefSeq lists it as uncharacterized. Lineage: Eukaryota; Metazoa; Chordata; Aves; Apodiformes; Trochilidae. The record is from RefSeq and is a predicted model, not a curated record. The transcript is spliced from 3 exons.